This 660-nucleotide ribosomal RNA is filed under the name uncultured bacterium. Its description in RNAcentral is "bacterial SSU rRNA". It matches the Rfam family "Bacterial small subunit ribosomal RNA", at positions 8 to 694 of the family's 1533-position model. The record is from RNAcentral.
AGAGUUUGAUCCUGGCUCAGGACGAACGCUGGCGGUGUGCUUCACACAUGCAAGUCGAACGGAGUAGCAAUACUCAGUGGCGGACGGGUGAGUAACACGUGGGAAUCUACCAUUAGGUGGGGAAUAACAGGCCGAAAGGACUGCUAAUGCCGCAUAUGUAGGCAUCUCGACAGAGAUGUUUAUGAAAGGAGUAAUCCGCCUUUUGAUGAGCCCGCGUCCGAUUAGCUAGUUGGUAGGGUAAAAGCCUACCAAGGCGACGAUCGGUAGGUGGUCUGAGAGGAUGAUCACCCACAAUGGGACUGAGACACGGCCCAUACUCCUACGGGAGGCAGCAGUGGGGAAUUUUACGCAAUGGGGGAAACCCUGACGUAGCGACACCGCGUGAGCGAAGAAGCCCUUUGGGGUGUAAAGCUCUGUCAACAGGAACGAAACAAAUGACGGUACCUGUGGAGGAAGCAUCGGCUAACUACGUGCCAGCAGCCGCGGUAAGACGUAGGAUGCAAGCGUUGUCCGGAUUUAUUGGGCGUAAAGAGUUCGUAGGCGGUUUGUUAAGUCUGAUGUUAAAGACCGGGGCUCAACCUCGGAAAUGCAUUGGAUACUGGCAGACUGGAGUGCAGCAGAGGCUAGUGGAAUUCCCAGUGUAGCGGUGAAAUGCGUAGA